UGCCCUCCAUCCGUGUGUCCCGUGAGUGUCCUUCGGCGUGUCUCUGUGUGGGUGGCAUCGGAUAGCGUGGGGUCAACAUUUCAGGAGCGGGAAGGUCACCAAUUAAUGCUGCAGAAUAAUAGAAAGGUCGCCAAUUAAUACUGGUGCAUCGGUAUUCUUUCUAAAGAUUUUAUUGAAAAUAUUUGAGUUUGCUUUGAGAUCAAGUAAUACUUCAUAGAGCUGCUUGUGAGCAAGUAGUAUUUUAAAGAGCAGCUUGUAUUUAUAAAUCUUUGCGAAACUUGAAUUAAACAUUACUCAUACGACCUGCAAGCCAAUUAUAAUCCUCUCUUUGAAUUCACAACCCCUUCUUGUGAUGUAAAACCCACAUUAUUUUUGUGACAAAAAAUAUUUACGAUGGCUUCGAUGCGAAUUGAAUUUAUUGAUGAGGCUGCGUGCAAAACACUUUCGCUUUUUUUCAGUUGGCAUUCGUUAAGAAUGCUUGGAUAAAUGCCGUCUUGUGGCUUGUCUGCACAUCCACCAGAUGGCUCAAUAAGUGCCAAAGCCAGGUCACAAGUAUGACGAGUUUGGCCUUUGGCAACUUGGUUAAGAGUGAAUACUUUAACGAAACCUCAAUCAAUUCGAGUGCCUCUUUUUAUGCGCCGAGCCUCAAAACCCUCGAAAGUUGCUCAAUCUCAAUUGAGGCUUGGCGAGUGCGAACUCAAUAAACGGCCAAAUGUAUCGCAGAUGUCUUAAGCUCUGGGCUAUGAUGUACAUUUAAUGAGUUUCCAACCGAGAAAGUAGUAAAUGGAUGCAUCAUCUUCAUACGUAAAGUUUACUUUUUUUAGGGCCGUAAACAACUUGGCUUAUAGCUGUACAAACAAAACGCUGUAAAAACUAUUAGCACCUAUCACGAGACUGUAAUUAAAAUCGCAGAAAACAUCUUGCAUGAUUUAUUACACAAAGUACUUAGCAAGACGACUUUAAUAGUUUAACUUUUUUAAGCAACUACCUCAGCUGUAUUUAGGUUUACCUUCUAAUUUUCGUGUCAUAGAAAAUUAAGAGUGACUUGCAACGAAAAAAUAUCCAAAAGAUAAAUGCGACACACGAUUUUCAGUGCAUAAAGAUUCCAAUUAUAUCAAUUAUCACCGUUCAAGAUAGUUAUUUUGCAGCUGGUACAUGACACAUUGCACGCUUUCGGAAUUUGACACAAAAAACGUCAUUUUACGAAUUUAGCAUUCCUUAUAGAAAUAUAUAUUCAUAGGCAUUCUUUGCGAGCACUUCACACUAGUUUUGUUGCCUUUUCCCCCAAUUCACAAUCGUGCGAAUAAUUUAUGGAAAUGAGGGACUCUCCAUGAAAGCAUACCCAUUGUUUUGCAUAUUUUAAAACUAUGGCUAUGACUACCUAAUUGCCAUAAUUAGAUGCUCCGCGCUCAACUGCCCAAUGACGCAAUGUCGCUGGGGUUCAAUGAACCAGAAUUGGUCACGCAAAAAAAUCAUAGAUACCUACUCAGGUACUAGCAAUUUGAGUGUGAGAAUGGCAGUUAGGCAAAAAAACUGAAUGAGUGCUGUUCAAGUUAGCCAUGGUUAUGCUCUGACUAAUGAGGCCACUUUCCUUUCGAUUCAUUUGGCAUGCCCGACAUUUCCUUAUAAAUUCAGCCAACUGUCGGCGGGCAAAGGAAAUUCUUAUUUAUGGCCCGAAAUUACUCUUCGCAUUAUGCAAAACACCGCGAUAAGGCAUUAGAGGGGCCAAUGAACCGCAAACGAACUAAAUCAUUCAUAUCUCGGCCGAGUGGUACUGCCAAAAAAUCGAGCAUGCUGAUGUUGUAAUAUGGAAGGAAACCGGUUGACAGACCGAGUAGCUUUGUACUUGGCCCCGCACAGUUCCCAGUUCCCAGAUAUACAAACCGUCUUGGCCCAAAAGUAGCACACAAACAGAAGUGAGUCGGCGGCAAUCUUGUCGCCCCAGUCUCGCACUUACGUAACCGUCUUGAGUUCCAGCUCUAAGAAAAUUCAAAAAAAAUAAAUGAAAAACGUAUUAAGAAAAUGAAACUGAAAAUCAUGCGAACUGCAGCCAGUUGAACCCGGUUAAAAAACCAAUGAAACGCUUGACUUGCCGUCAAUGUAAAUUAAAAAGGCCUGCUAAAAAACGAAAGUGUGUCGACGUAGUCGCAAUCGAGUGUGCAACUUAAAAGUGCGUGUCUUGACUUACGCAUGCGAUUCCAGUUACCAGUACAAUAAAUACGACAAAACUCAUAAAUAUAACAAAACCAGUUUUUCAACAGAAGCUGCUGCUGCAUGCGUGUUAAAUGCAGUCGAUUGUUUGAGUACAGGAAGCUGGGUCAGUGGGUUAACAAAAUAGAAAUGGAACAAUAAAGUGACAGUUUUUGUUUCUUUAAAAUGCAGGGAAACUAAUAAAUUGAGUUGGUAAAUGAAACUUCAUUUUAGGUGUGUCAGGAAUGUACUACAGAAACUGCUUAACUAAUGCAUAAACUUUAAAUUGAGAAUCAAAACUUAAUCAAUCGAUUUCCGUUGAUCAAAAUCUAAGAAUAAAUCAGAUACCCUAUUUCGUAAGCGAUCGGAUUAUUAUAAGCAUCCGGUUGAUAAUGAUGCUAAGCUCUGGGAAGCGAAAUGGUUACCAGUCAUUUUUCAUUCAUUAUGGAGAAUGCUUCCACCAUAAGAGUAAAGUAAACACUUAUUGAAAGCGUCAUGGGAUUUGGGCAGAUGGAAUAAGUGAUUAAAACUCCAUCGUUAUAUGCCACUUAACUAUCACACGUUUAUGCACAAGAUCCGGUUCCAAGUAAUGAUUAUCAGUGUCAAAUGUUUUCGAAUUGAUUUAAAAAUAGAAGAUUAUUGCAUUGUACUACUUCCAAGUAAUGAUUAUCAGUGUCAAAUGUUUUGAAUUGCUUUAAAAAUAGAAGAUAAUGGUUGAAACCCUAGAUGGGCAUCUAUGCGAAUUCGACAUUGAAUGAAGGCGAUUCAAAGGUGAUUCGCUCCAAUUUCGAUGGGUAUCUUUAUGUCGCCACAUAUGGGAAACGGGGCGGCCAAUUAAACGUCGUUGGUCUGCACUUUUGUUUGGUCAUUUUGGUAACUUUUCGCUGGCCCAUUGAAGUUGGCCGCUUGGCAGUUGGAGCGGCGGUGGUGGUGCGGUUCAUUGAAUUUCAAUUGUCCACGGUGGGUGGUGCAGUGGUGCAAUUGGACAAUGCGGACCAUGCGGACAACCGCAAACAGCGACAGAGCAAUGCCAUAACAGCGAAAAUAUCAAACUGAUUUGGUUGUGCAAUGCUGUGCUUACAUCACUCCACUUCCUUUCCACUUCUCCACUUGCAGUGGAUCAUGCACGUGGGUUGGGUUUGCGGAAUUAGGAUUAAAAUUCAGCACAGAGUUGGCUAAAGUAUGCCCCUGUAUAUUAGGACUUAGUUUCAAUUACGGGCUUCCAUUGCCUGUUGAUUAGGCGCCUUUGAUGGGUUGUUCCUGGAAGAUUUAGUUGUUAAAAUCUAAUUAAAAUUUAAAUAACCCCUGGUUGCUGCGAAAACAUGUGGAAUUGCUGACCAGUUUAUGUUUACUAAAUUUCGUUUUGUGCGCAACUGGAAAAGUGCAGUUUUCGACAAGCUUAUCGCUUGUUUGCAGUCCGCAGACGAGCACUGAUUUUUAUUUCUUUUUUUUUUGUUUGGGGUCCUGCUGCCAUGCCAACGUAAUCUACUUCAGACCAUAUCAAAGCCCCGCCAUAAUUCCGCAUCCCCGCAUUUGUGCCCCCACAUCCCAUCAUACAUCGCAUCAUGCCGUAUCAUAUCGCAUAUCCCGUAUACGCCGGGGGUGCUGGCAAUUCACGUGUGUGGAGCAGCUCUAAUGCCGGGCAGAUUGUCGAGCAAUUUGCGGCGAUUAAAUUAGCUCAAGCGUGCCCCUAAAGAAGCGAUUCCCAUCCUGCCUCCUGUUGCUGCACUUGUAGUUGUUGUUCUCGUUGUUGUUGUUGCUGCCGGCGAAGGACUAAGGUAUUAAGUGGAGUUUUCAGCUCUGGGUGAUCUGUGUAUCUGUGUGGUUCCCAUGUGAAAUCACCACCAUGGCCGCAGCGAGCAGACGAAGCGAGAUGGAACGAUGUCCUUGCGGGUGUAAAGCUGCCACGCCCACCGCCUUGAAUCGCCUCAUCCACCCACUGCGUUGCUGCCGCGCCAAAUGUUCUAAUCUCCGCGCCGGAUUUACACAUUGCUACCCAGGCAGCCACAUUGAAACUUUGUGUACAUAUUUGAGUUUCAUUUCGUUUGUGGCUAACAUGAAGUCAUAAAAUUGAAAUAAAUAUAAAUGCGAGUUGCGCUGAUUUCCAGCUGAGCGGACACGCCCCCUUCUAAGACGGUGGGCGGCGCCCACGCAGCAGGGAGCUCACAAAUCUCCCAGGAGUGUUGGCUUCACCCAAACGCAGAUAGCGCACCACAGGACUCCGGACUUAAAGUGCUUAAAUUACAAAUUACGGGCAUGGAAGUCCGGUCAUACCCAAAAUCUUUGAAUUCAGGUAUUAGAGAGUAAGUAAGCAUUGUUGCAUACUUCUUUGGUGCAGCAACCCCGAAACGCUGCCUGAAAUUCCCAAGUAGUUCUGGCAGAUCCCUCAAGGAGAUCCCAGAGUUGAGCGGCGAAAAGCAUACUUACCUGGCGUAGAGGUUAACCGUGAUCACGAAGGCGGUUCCUCCGGAGUGAGGCUUGGCCAUUGCACCUCGGCUGAGUUGACCUCUGCGAUUAUUCCUAAUGUGAAUAACUCGUGCGUGUAAUUUUUGGUAGCCGGGAAUGGCGUUCGCGCCGUCCCGACAUUUAAAAUAAAUCAAAAAAAAAAUAAACUUCAUUGAUUUGCUUUAUUAGAUUGAUGAAGAAGUUGGUGCGAAAGUUAAUUUAAACAAAUGUCUACCACUAACAGCUAGUUGACGCUCUUCCCAAUCAUCGAUCAUUGGGAAGAUGAGUCCUAUUUCAUUCAUCCCAUUAACUGACUUGGGUUUUUGUGCUCCGCCUACUCCUCCUAAUCCUCCUCCUUGGGCAGCCGUAACCGGUCCAGCCUCCUUUUUCGCGCUUCCUUAUUUAUUUAUCAUCAUUUAUUAAACGCUCGCUCGCUCGCCGCCUGCCAAGUUUCCGAUGCCAAGAAAGGAGUCCGUCGUCGGUCCGAGUUCGGCAGCAAAAAAAAUUGUCGCUGUCAGAUUACGUUGCAAUAUUGCUUCCAGUUGCCAUAUCCUGCCGACUUUCCGCCCAAAUUCACGCUGCGAAGGACGAGAGAAACGUGAAAUCGAAGGGUCGGGGGCGUCGUCCCUUUCCCAUUCUUUUUUCUCGGCUUUGACACAAGCAACAAUUUACUCGGUUUCAGGUUAAAGUCAUAUCGUUAGCAUUAACGCUUUUUGAUUUUUAUUGAGUCAGCUAAAUUUUAUUCGAUUUACCAUCCACACACAUACAUACAUAUACACACACAAGCACACACACACAUACACACCCUCGCAGUGGGAAAGACAAAUACAGAUGUACCAACAGCAGCAUCCCCCAUCAGAAGAGCAGGGCACAACAUUCCUGGGGAGGAAUAUUUCCGAGCUUUAAUGAGGUUGGCCCACCAACCAAUGAGUCCUUCGCCGGGUGGAAGGACGACCUGCCUUCCGCCCUUCCAUCGUCCUUCCAUCCUUAACUUUUCCCGCCCAGGAAGAGUCUAUUUCGGAAGUAAAUGAAAAUUUGAUUUGGAAUUUCGUGUGUCCUGGUCGUGCGUGCGUUACAGCAUCCUCAUUCCAGAAUCCAAGCCCAAUGAACCCAAACCGAAACCGAAACUGAACCACCGAGCGAGGAUGAUGAUGUUGAUGACGACGUCAAAGUCGAAGAUGGGCAUGUGAUAAAAUAAAUUACGGGCAGAUUAGUGCGAAUUUAAUUAUCGUUUGUUCCUUUGAUGUCGCCAAGUAAAUAAAGGGAAUAAAUAUGAUGAUGACUCCCAACGGCAGUUCUAAUAACAUUAUUUCCGUAUCCAGUUAAUUGCGGAAAAUGUGCGAGGCUGUGUUUUAAAAAUUCCUACCUGCUGCGAAUUUCUGUAUUUCUGGAUUUUCCAACCCCUAGGCAGAGCCUACUUUCUCCUUGCACUGCAUGCAGUGCCUGUAAUUCCCAAGUAGUUCUGACAGUUCCCUCAAGGAGAUCCCAGAGUUGAGCAGCAGAAAGCAUACUUACCUGGCGUAGAGGUUAACCGUGAUCACGAAGGCGGUUCCUCCGGAGUGAGGCUUGGCCAUUGCACCUCGGCUGAGUUGACCUCUGCGAUUAUUCCUAAUGUGAAUAACUCGUGCGUGUAAUUUUUGGUAGCCGGGAAUGGCGUUCGCGCCGUCCCGACAU
Long non-coding RNA from Drosophila yakuba, 6309 nucleotides. RefSeq lists it as uncharacterized. The transcript is spliced from 2 exons. Lineage: Eukaryota; Metazoa; Arthropoda; Insecta; Diptera; Drosophilidae. The record is from RefSeq and is a predicted model, not a curated record.